GUGGAAGAAGGAGGAGUGUGGAGUGGUCAACAGGCGGUUACGAGAGACGAGGGACGCAACGCACAACGGCGAUUCAUCAACACACUAUAAAGCGCCAUCUUUUGCUCCCAACAUGUUCCUCACACGCUCCCUAACGUUCACACUUUUCUGUCCACUUCCCCUUGCUGUUCCUCACUCUGUGUCUCUGCUUGUUGUCCAACAACCUUCUACCUCGUCAUUUUCUUUGUUAGAUCCCUGUUUUCUCACAUUGCAUUUCUUUUUCCUGGAUUAUCAACUUUCCCACAGUAGCGGUGAGAGUUCCUCGUACUUUAUCCACACGCAGUUUUUCGCUCGCUCUAAUCGUUUGUUAGAACCGUCCAAAAUAUGGUGAAAUGUUUUGUCUUGAUUUGCUGUGCGGUUGUGAAAUUGACUCGGUUGAUUGGAUGUGAGUUGUCGGACGAGGUGCCUUCUUUUGUGCCAAUGCUUGUCGAAACAUCUGGAAACGAAUCGGGAUUUUGGAUGUCUCCAAGGUUGUCAAUUGUCAACUUAUCUUGAAAUUUCUGUGUUUCGGAACUUCCGGUGAUGGCCGACUCCUAGCUCGUAGUGUUAAAUUCACGGUUUUCUUUCCUCUUUUGGAACGGUCUUUAAUUGGUCGCAAACCGAUCGCCAAGUCGAUUCUACAUGAACCUGACAUUGUAAUUUUCAACGGAAUCCUUCGAUUGGUAUUGUAGCAUAAGCUUAUAUAUAGGUGCAAAUGAACUCUACUCCCUCAAAUUACGCGGGAAAGUUUCUUUCUAGGGUCAUUUUAUAUGUGGUAUGAACCGUGCCAGAGUUGAGCAAGUUGGUAAAUGGACAAAGAUCGAACUGACAGUUUAUAUAGAAAUCCUUCAAUUGCUAAUUGUGUGCAUGCAACUCUGAUUUGUAAAUACCAUAUUACCCGAAAUUCAAAUUUAGGGGCUCAUAUCAUGCAUGAAACAUUCUUAACUUUUAUGAAGUCUGCUCCCAUAUUUUCCCUUGUCUGUUAGGCUUGGUGUGAACCACUGAAGCAACAGAAGUCUGCUUUUAUUUGUUCGCAGUGCAUCUUAAUAGACUUGUCACCACGUUCAUAUGCCUAAUAGACUUUAAGCUUGGCCAAAAUUUUGAAGUCCAAUAAAGUGAAUUUUCACUGGAGCUCAGAGUGCCAAGGAGAGAGAAUUGAGGAGGGAGAGUGAAGGAAGGAUCAUUUACUCUGCGCUGACAAUGGCACUGACGGUGAUUUUCCUACCUCAAAUCAAAAUAGAAAUCUGAGAAGUAGCAAUAUUGCAGACGGUGGAAGAUCUGUAGGUUCACUCCACAUCCUGAAAUUCACGGUGACAUGGAGUCUCAGAUUCACCAGCUUGAGCAGGAAGCAUACUCUUCUGUCCUGCGUGCUUUUAAAGCUCAGUCCGAUGCUCUUACUUGGGAGAAAGAAGGUUUGAUAACUGAGCUUAGAAAAGAAUUGAGAGUUUCAGAUGAUGAGCAUAGAGAGCUUCUUACAAGGGUUAAUGCUGAUGAGAUUAUCCAGCGCAUACGGGAAUGGAGACAAACUGGUUGUUAUCAACCUGCAAGGCGCAGCAAUUCUCUGCCUGUUUAUGACUUUUUGCCCAGUCCAACAGUUUCAGCUUCCCAUAAGAAACAGAAGACAUCCCAAUCGGUAGCUUCUUCUGGUCAGUCAUUUCCUAGUUUGCCUUUGGUGAAGCCUAUGCAUUGUCCUUCUUCAGGGUCUGCUGGAGGUAGGCGCUUCAUUAAUCGCAGUUCUUCUAGUGUCCUUCCAUCUAAUGCGCCUGCUGAAGUGGCAACUUUUGAUCCAUAUAUUGGAAAGAAGGUUUGGACUAGAUGGCCUGAAGACAAUCACUUUUAUGAGGCUGUGAUAACCGACUAUAAUGCUGCUGAGGGUCGGCAUGCUCUGGUUUAUGAUAUUAAUACAGCAAAUGAGACUUGGGAAUGGGUUGAUCUUAAAGAGAUCUCACCAGAGGAUAUACGAUGGGAAGAUGAAGAUCCAGCCACAACCCAUAGAGGCAGGCAUAGUGGGCAAUGUCGUGGAGUCAAGAAAUUCCAUUGCCGCGGUGGUAACACUGUGGCUGCUGGAAGAGGGAGAGGACAUGCUGGGGUUCAAAGUCAUAUCAGAAAAGAAUUUUUCCCACCACAAAAUGGUAUUGGAGAUAGAGUUUUAGAUGAUAUUGAAUUCCCAGACACAGAUUUACUGGUUCAGGAGAAAAAUGAUGUUGCUUUAACAGGUGGAGAGGGUUAUAGCCGAGAGUGAUCCAGAUCCUAUGGAACUGGAGAGGGCAAAGGAAAUGCUGAAAGAGCAUGAACAAGCCCUUGUUGACGCAAUUGCCAAGCUAGCAGAUGCAUCUGAUUGUGAAAGUGAUGGAGAACACCCCUACUUGCCAGGGCAACUAAUGGAUAGGGGAUGAGAGCACUGGAGCUGCUUGUAGAGAAAACUAUCCUUGGAUGUUCAAGCUCACAUGGAGUCAAAUUGUGAGGCGAGUGAUGCCCUUAAAAGAACCAACCCAAGCUCAUUAAUGGUCCGCAAAUGGUCGUCCUAUUGAUGCACUUUUUGUGUCAUUUUUUCGUUUUUUGCCCGUCCUGACUCAUUUUUGGUGCCCGUGGCUACUAAGUACAUGGAGAACUCGCGUGUCUAAGGCGCAAAACCAAAUUUUUCAAGUCUGUAUGGGACUGUAAAAUUGCUUUGUUUACGGAUAUAGAGAUUCCAUGUCCUCAACAAAAGUAUCAUCCCAGUGCAUCGAUUUAAUCAUGUAAACAGGCGAUAAACUCUAACACCACAGUCAAAUUUUGCCGCAAGAAGAAAUCCAGGUAAUCACAAAAUGAAAAGGAUCUUUCCAGUUCAAGACAUCUGUGAUAUGAUAUUUCGUUAAAUAUCAGAGUUCUCACCAACACAUGCCAUUCCUAUUGGUUUUGCUUCCCGAAGAUCCUCUGCAAGACUGCAGUAGCUGGACUGAACCGUGAAGGCUAGCACGUCACAACAUAUGCUGACUCGAAUUUUAAAGGAAUUUAUUCUCAUCAAGUUGGUAGGAAGAAUAAUAGGAUGUAAUCUAGAGCAGGUAAUGUUGAGUUUUGAAUGGCACUACUUAUUUCUCA
Molecule: RNA transcript, 3099 nt
Organism: Prosopis cineraria
Lineage: Eukaryota; Viridiplantae; Streptophyta; Magnoliopsida; Fabales; Fabaceae
Gene name: protein EMSY-LIKE 1-like
Exons: 10
Source: RefSeq, a predicted model, not a curated record